GACGAAGGAUCCAAGCGUUGUCCGGAUUUACUGGGUUUAAAGGGUGCGUAGGCGGAUAAAUAAGUCAGAGGUGAAAGCCUGCAGCUCAACUGUAGAAUUGCCUUUGAAACUGUUUAUCUAGAGUACACUUGAGGUGGCUGGAAUAUAUCAUGUAGCGGUGAAAUGCUUAGAUAUGAUAUAGAACACCAAUUGCGAAGGCAAGUCACUAAGAUGUAACUGACGCUGAGGCACGAAAGCGUGGGUAGCAAAC
Molecule: ribosomal RNA, 250 nt
Filed under: uncultured bacterium
Lineage: Bacteria
Description: partial 16S ribosomal RNA
Rfam family: Bacterial small subunit ribosomal RNA
Source: RNAcentral